GAAGCUCGGGAGGAAUCAUGAAAUGUAGGAUGCUGGGAGGAAAUUGGAUAUGGGGAACGGCUUGGUUCUGGCUAGGACACGGAGCAGGGGAGGACAUGGAAGCUUGAUCUCUAAGCACUAAAAAAGGUGACGUGGACAUGGGUUCAUCUGCAAACGCGACCUGCACACAUUAGUUCAGACAUCAUCCCAAUUAGUUCGACUUGACCUGCACAUAUUAGACUCGACCAAUAAAAUCUGGCAAACUCGAAUUAUUUUUAAUAAUUUAUUAAAAUGCAAUUAUGAAGGUAACACAUUUUUUUUGGUUAAAUUUAUAAAAUAUGU
RNAcentral lists this long non-coding RNA (321 nucleotides) under Phoenix dactylifera (date palm). RNAcentral describes it as "long non-coding RNA (PDAC_LNC012983)". Lineage: Eukaryota; Viridiplantae; Streptophyta; Magnoliopsida; Arecales; Arecaceae. The record is from RNAcentral.